This 1018-nucleotide ribosomal RNA is filed under the name uncultured bacterium. Its description in RNAcentral is "bacterial SSU rRNA". It matches the Rfam family "Bacterial small subunit ribosomal RNA", at positions 357 to 1376 of the family's 1533-position model. The record is from RNAcentral.
AGGAAUAUUGGUCAAUGGACGAGAGUCUGAACCAGCCAAGUAGCGUGAAGGAUGAAGGUUCUAUGGAUUGUAAACUUCUUUUAUACGGGAAUAAACGAAUCCACGUGUGGAUUUUUGCAUGUACCGUAUGAAUAAGGAUCGGCUAACUCCGUGCCAGCAGCCGCGGUAAUACGGAGGAUCCGAGCGUUAUCCGGAUUUAUUGGGUUUAAAGGGAGCGUAGAUGGGUUGUUAAGUCAGUUGUGAAAGCUUGCGGCUCAACCGUAAAAUUGCAAUUGAUACUGGCAGUCUUGAGUACAGUUGAGGUAGGCGGAAUUCGUGGUGUAGCGGUGAAAUGCUUAGAUAUCACGAAGAACUCCGAUUGCGAAGGCAGCUUACUAACCUGUAACUGACAUUGAUGCUCGAAAGUGUGGGUAUCAAACAGGAUUAGAUACCCUGGUAGUCCACACGGUAAACGAUGAAUACUCGCUGUAGGCGAUAUACUGUCUGCGGCCAAGCGAAAGCAUUAAGUAUUCCACCUGGGGAGUACGCCGGCAACGGUGAAACUCAAAGGAAUUGACGGGGGCCCGCACAAGCGGAGGAACAUGUGGUUUAAUUCGAUGAUACGCGAGGAACCUUACCCGGGCUUAAAUUGCAACCGAAUAUGGCGGAAACGCUAUAGCUAGCAAUAGCGGUUGUGAAGGUGCUGCAUGGUUGUCGUCAGCUCGUGCCGUGAGGUGUCGGCUUAAGUGCCAUAACGAGCGCAACCCUUGCCGAUAGUUACUAACAGGUCAUGCUGAGGACUCUGUCGGGACUGCCAUCGUAAGAUGUGAGGAAGGUGGGGAUGACGUCAAAUCAGCACGGCCCUUACGUCCGGGGCUACACACGUGUUACAAUGGGGGGUACAGAGGGCUGCUACCACGCAAGUGGAUGCCAAUCCCAAAAACCUCUCUCAGUUCGGAUUGAAGUCUGCAACCCGACUUCAUGAAGCUGGAUUCGCUAGUAAUCGCGCAUCAGCCACGGCGCGGUGAAUACGUUCCCG